Sus scrofa (pig) is the source of this 1504-nucleotide non-coding RNA. The record is from RefSeq and is a predicted model, not a curated record. Lineage: Eukaryota; Metazoa; Chordata; Mammalia; Artiodactyla; Suidae.
GCCGUCGCAUGCCGCCCGCAGGUAGUGGUGUCGAGAGCCGAUCCUUGAGGACCGCGCUGUGUGAGGGGUUGCUGGUGGUGGCGCAGUCUGAGUAGGCACUAUGAGUUUGGCUGGGGGCCGGGCCCCCCGGAAGACCGCAGGGAACCGGCUUUCUGGUCUCCUGGAGGCAGAGGAGGAAGAUGAGUUCUACCAGACGACUUAUGGGGGUUUCACUGAGGAAUCAGGAGAUGAUGAGUAUCAAGGGGACCAGUCAGACACAGAGGAUGAGGUGGACUCUGAUUUUGACAUCGACGAAGGAGAUGAACCAUCCAGUGAUGGAGAAACAGAAGAGCCAAGAAGGAAGCGCCGAGUAGUCACCAAAGCGUAUAAGGAGCCUCUUAAGAGCUUGAGGCCUCGAAAGGUCAGCACCCCAGCUGGUAGCUCUCAGAAGACCCGAGAAGAGAAAGCAUUGCUUCCACUAGAACUACAGGAUGAUGGCUCUGACAGUCGGAAGUCCAUGCGUCAGUCUACAGCUGAGCAUACAAGACAGACAUUCCUUCGAGUACAAGAGCGGCAGGGUCAGUCACGGCGGCGAAAGGGGCCCCACUGUGAGCGGCCACUGACCCAGGAGGAGCUGCUCAGGGAGGCUAAGAUCACAGAAGAGCUCAACUUACGUUCACUGGGUCAGUCUAUGGUUUUGAGAACAGUGGGUAGAAGGGCUGAGAAGCAUGAGAUAAACUGAGACCUGGAAGAUCCAAUGAACCAGAAAGAUGGCAAUUUGGGACAAGAGACCUAUGAGCGGCUCGAGGCUGACAAAAAGAAGCAGGUCCAUAAGAAGCGCAAGUGCCCUGGGCCCAUAAUCACCUACCAUUCGGUGACAGUGCCACUUGUUGGGGAACCAGGCCCUAAAGAAGAGAAUGUCGAUGUGGAGGGACUUGAUCCCACUCCCACGGCUUCUGCAUUGACUCCCCGUCCUGGGACUGGACCCGUCGUCCCUCCUGCUCGCUGCUCUCGUACCUUCAUCACUUUCAGUGAUGAUGCGACGUUCGAGGAAUGGUUCCCCCAAGGGCGGCCCCCAAAGGUCCCUGUUCGGGAGGUCUGCCCGGUGACCCAUCGCCCAGCCCUAUACCGGGACCCUGUUACAGACAUACCCUACGCCACUGCUCGAGCCUUCAAGAUCAUCCGUGAGGCCUACAAGAAGUACAUCACUGCCCACGGACUGCCGCCCACUGCCUCAGCCCUGGGUCCUGGCCCACCACCCCCCGAGCCCCUCCCUGGCUCUGGGCCUCGAGCCUUGCGCCAGAAAAUCGUCAUCAAAUGAAGGGAGGUCGAGUCCUUAGAAAGCCCUUUCCUGCCCUAACUUGGGGCUCUUGAUGCCUGUUCCCCCCCCACUUCUUCCCCUUGUCAUCACUGAUCCUUGCCCAGCCCUUUAGUUUUUUUCCCCUAGUUCCUAUUGGUUUCAUGGGUUGUUUUUUUUUUUUUUUAAUCUAAUAAAAUAGAAAGAUCCCUUUUGUCUGGUGUCUAU